Molecule: ribosomal RNA, 788 nt
Filed under: Xanthoparmelia subtasmanica
Lineage: Eukaryota; Fungi; Ascomycota; Lecanoromycetes; Lecanorales; Parmeliaceae
Description: SSU rRNA
Rfam family: Bacterial small subunit ribosomal RNA
Source: RNAcentral
GGAAUGUAUAGCAAUAGCUAGUUGCAUCAUAGUAGAUAUGAUGCAAGAUCGACUAUGUUGAAUAAAAUUCUAGGUAGAAUUAUGAUAAUGACAUUGUCUGCCUAUGUGUCUUGACCAAAUUACGUGCCAGCAGUCGCGGUAAUACGUAGAAGACUAGUGUUAUUCAUGUUUAAUCGGUUUAAAGGGUACCUAGACGGUAGAUCAAGCUUUCUAAUAAAGGAAAAGGACUAGUUUACUAGAGUUACUUAUGAGGGGGUAUUAAAGUACUGCUGGUGUAGAGAUGAAAUUCUGUCAUACCUCUUUUCAAAAGAAAAACCAUGGCACAGGUAUAGGCGAAGGCAUCCCCUUAUGUGAUAACUGACGUUGAGGGACGAAGGCUUUGUGUAGCGAACAGGAUUAGAUACCCCAGUAGUCGAAGCAGAAAAUGAUGAAUGUCAUAGAUUAGAUAUAUAAGUUUAUUCUAUAAAUGAAAGUGUAAGCAUUCCACCUCAUGAGUAAUUUGGCAACAUUGGAACUGAAAUCAUUAGACCGUUUCUGAAACCAGUAGUGAAGUAUGUUGUUUAAUUUGAUGUCCCGCAAAAAACCUUACCACAAUUUGAAUAUUUAUAUUGUUUAUUGUUUUAUUAUUAAUUUUCUUGAAGAAAAUUAAGAAACAAGCAAUAAGAUAUAAUUACAAGCGUUGCACGGCUGUCUUCAGUUAAUGUCGCGAGACUUUGGUUAGUUCCAUUAAAUUAACGUAAACCCUUACUUUAUUUUUAUAUAGAGUAGUUCCCCGCUAUAUUGGAUAU